Molecule: small nucleolar RNA, 135 nt
Organism: Cervus hanglu yarkandensis (Yarkand deer)
Lineage: Eukaryota; Metazoa; Chordata; Mammalia; Artiodactyla; Cervidae
Gene: SNORA70
Rfam family: Small nucleolar RNA SNORA70
About the family: snoRNA U70 seems to be exclusive to mammals and is a member of the H/ACA class of snoRNA which contain H (ANANNA) and ACA box motifs. H/ACA box snoRNAs are involved in the conversion of uridines to pseudouridines (5-ribosyluracil) a constituent of structural RNAs (transfer, ribosomal, small nuclear, and small nucleolar).
Source: Ensembl
UUGCAGCCAAUUAAGCCGACUGUGCUCUUUUCCCCAUGGGGGCCCAGUGUGCAAUGGCUGCAAACAGCAGCCUCCUUGGUAGUGUAUGCAACCUGUUGCCUGUACAGGUAGCCCUAAGGGACCUUGGAGACAACU